This is a long non-coding RNA of Sphaerodactylus townsendi, 1352 nucleotides long. RefSeq lists it as uncharacterized. Lineage: Eukaryota; Metazoa; Chordata; Lepidosauria; Squamata; Sphaerodactylidae. The transcript is spliced from 2 exons. The record is from RefSeq and is a predicted model, not a curated record.
GCUGCCCAUACCACAUGCUUACCUCAUGAACUGUGGGGCAUCCUGGCCAGGAUUUUUUGGGGGGAUAUGAUUGGGUGCUUGGGAGGGAGAUGUUGCCUGCCACAGGAGAGGGAACCUGUUCCAAAAGGACACAGUGGUGGGAUUACAACCAGUUCUCCGAACUAGACCAAAAAUUAGCUACCGGUUCUACUGAACUGGUGCGAAUAGGCUGAAUCCCACCACUGGGCACUUGAUUUUUGAGAACAAUUGGCAUCUAUGCCAAUCUAUGCCCCACAUUUUUUGUUGGCAUAAAUGCACCUCGGACAGGGGGCAUUCAGAAGCCGAAAAGGCUCAAGGUGUUGACUAACACCACAACGGCUUUUUAAAGGCUGUGAGUGUAACUUUAAAAAUGAAGCUUAACCACAGGAAACCAAAAUACUUCACUUUCAACACACAGCUGUUGCCCAAGUCAUUAAUGACUCCAGUAGAGUUAGCUUGGAAGCUCGCCUUCCAACAAAGGUUCAAUUCAAGAAACAUCUCUUUAGACAGGGAGAAGAUUUUUACUAAAACUUAAUCCUGGUUCCUUCCACACAUGUUUGCGGCAGCUAACUGUCAAAUAGCUAAAAGUCUGGCGAUGUCUCUUCGAUAGCAUAGGGCAGGGGUCUGCAACCUGCGGCUCUGGAGUCACAUGCGGCUCAUUCAUCCUUGUACUGUGGCUCCCCGUGGCUUGGGUCCUCUCAACCUCCUUCGGAGAGUCACCCUAAGGGUUAAUGGGAAAGAGUCCCCGUUCCCAGAGAGGCACAGCCUGAGACAGUUAUCCCAAGCCAUUUCCGGCUUUCCUGUCCCAGCUGCCUGGUUGGCCAGUGACGGUGAUGUAACACUUCAUGGAUUUCAUAACACACUAUAAUUGUUUAUACAAAGCAUAAAGGUCCAAAUGGCUCUUUGGGUGUUAAAGGUUGCCGACCCCUGGCAUAGGGAGAGAACGUCAAUGUCCUGGCAAACAUUGCAUUUAAAAAGCAAGCAAGAGCUAAUGUCCAAGGCUACCCAAUGUUUGUGUUACGCGUAAGUAAAUCCCUGAAAUCAAGCACAGUUUCAACUCAUCAUAAGCAGCUCCUUGGAAUGAAUUUUUCUUGUGCAAUAAAUGCAUAGCUCUCUCCCAACUAUUAUGAGUGAUUCCCCACCCCCACCCCCGCCUCCUUUUUGGCAUAGCUUGUCCUAGAGUGUUUCAGUUGCGUACGCAGACAGAAUUUGGCAUGUAGAUGUUAGCUUUUGAUGUUUUAUUGUGUAACUGUAUUACGCCUUGAUUUUACGUUCACUGUUACGUUUUUAAAACACAUGUUUUACUUACCUUCUUUAAUAAAAUUAUAAAUAGA